RNAcentral lists this ribosomal RNA (460 nucleotides) under uncultured bacterium. RNAcentral's name for it is "partial 16S ribosomal RNA". It matches the Rfam family "Bacterial small subunit ribosomal RNA", at positions 338 to 795 of the family's 1533-position model. The record is from RNAcentral.
CCUACGGGCGGCUGCAGUGAGGAAUAUUGGUCAAUGGACGAGAGUCUGAACCAGCCAAGUAGCGUGAAGGAUGACUGCCCUAUGGGUUGUAAACUUCUUUUAUAUGGGAAUAAAAUGUUCCACGUGUGGGAUUUUGUAUGUACCAUAUGAAUAAGGAUCGGCUAACUCCGUGCCAGCAGCCGCGGUAAUACGGAGGAUCCGAGCGUUAUCCGGAUUUAUUGGGUUUAAAGGGAGCGUAGGUGGAUUGUUAAGUCAGUUGUGAAAGUUUGCGGCUCAACCGUAAAAUUGCAGUUGAAACUGGCAGUCUUGAGUACAGUGGAGGUGGGCGGAAUUCAUGGUGUAGCGGUGAAAUGCUUAGAUAUCACGAAGAACUCCGAUUGCGAAGGCAGUUCACUGGACUGCAACUGACACUGAGGCUCGAAAGUGUGGGUAUCAAACAGGAUUAGAUACCCGAGUAGUC